Molecule: ribosomal RNA, 404 nt
Filed under: Actinomycetes bacterium
Lineage: Bacteria; Bacillati; Actinomycetota; Actinomycetes
Description: Actinobacteria bacterium partial 16S ribosomal RNA
Rfam family: Bacterial small subunit ribosomal RNA
Source: RNAcentral
UGGGGAAUUUUCGACAAUGGGCGCAAGCCUGCUCCAGCCCUGCCGCGUGAGUGAUGAAGGUCCUAGGGUUGUAUAGCUCUUUCACCGGCGAAGAUAAUGACGGUAACCGGAGAAGAAGCCCCGGCUAACUUCGUGCCAGCAGCCGCGGUAAUACGAAGGGGGCCAGCGUUGUUCGGAUUUACUGGGCGUAAAGCGCACGUAGGCGGACUAUUAAGUCAGGGGUGAAGUCCCGGGGCUCAACCCCGGAACUGCCUUUGAUACUGGUAGUCUGGAGUUCGAGAGGGGUGAGUGGGAUUCCGAGUGUAGAGGUGAUAUUCGUAGAUAUUCGGAGGAACACCAGUGGCGAAGGCGGCUCACUGGCUGGAUACUGACGCUGAGGUGCGAAAGCGUGGGGAGCAAACAGG